RNAcentral lists this RNase P RNA (240 nucleotides) under Ghiorsea sp. RNAcentral describes it as "partial RNase P RNA component class A". It matches the Rfam family "Bacterial RNase P class A", at positions 139 to 367 of the family's 367-position model. From Rfam's summary of the family: Ribonuclease P (RNase P) is a ubiquitous endoribonuclease, found in archaea, bacteria and eukarya as well as chloroplasts and mitochondria. Its best characterised activity is the generation of mature 5'-ends of tRNAs by cleaving the 5'-leader elements of precursor-tRNAs. The record is from RNAcentral. Lineage: Bacteria; Pseudomonadati; Pseudomonadota; Candidatius Mariprofundia; Mariprofundales.
UCGCACAAGGUAAGGGUAAAAGGGUGCGGUAAGAGCGCACCGCUUGGUUUGGUGACAAAACAAGGCUUAGGUAAACCCCAUCCGCAGCAAGACCAAAUAGGAAGUCAGAUGGUGCUGCUCGCACUUGGCUUCGGGUAGGUUGCUUGAGGCUGCUGGCAACAGUAGUCCAGAUGAAUGAUCAUCGCUUUUGUUUGGCAACAAACAGAAGUACAGAACCCGGCUUACAGAGCCACUUCGCAA